Molecule: long non-coding RNA, 3738 nt
Filed under: Nicotiana benthamiana
Lineage: Eukaryota; Viridiplantae; Streptophyta; Magnoliopsida; Solanales; Solanaceae
Description: long non-coding RNA (NBEN_LNC004034)
Source: RNAcentral
AAAGAAGACCAAAAAAGAAGGCCUACAAUCUGAAGAAAAAUCAUCCGCCUGAAUACACAUAAAAAUCCCUUCAGAGCUUCGGCCGUUUGGGUAUAGGGAAGACUUCCCCCCUGAUUUCUUAUCUCCGGCAAACACCACCACAACGACCCCCGCUGAAAACAAACAUGAACAGAGAAAUCGAAACCAAAAAUAAUUGAUAACAAAAGUAGUUUGCUGCUUCCUCUUCUCAAUUUGAAUUUUCGUUAUGACGUUAUGGAGUUUGAUUGAGUUAUAAUUGCAUUCGAGUUCGAGCGAGGCAGCCCGGUCACGGAUUCGAUGAGCUUCCGUCGAGGUUCGAUUUAUGAUCGUAGUUCUUUGUUUUUGGUUUGAGAUCUGUCCGGCGUCUGUUGGUUCAAGCUUCAGCUGUUUUUGAAUGUGAGGUUGUAACACUUGCUAGAUUUCUGUCUCGUGUAUCACUGAAUAUUUCAUCAAUCAAAAGUUCGAUUUUCAGUUUCCAUAGUUGCUGAAGUUCUAUUAAUUGAAAAGCAAUUUCUGUUCUUAAAUUUCAUUUUUGCUGCUGGGAUUUGCUGAUUUGGGUCCAUUUUGGAGCUCGCUAGUGAGAUCUGUUCGUAAUUGGGUAUUGAAGUGUCGAGAUCAUCAAGUGAGCUUUGUUGGCGUAGCGUGGUUCAAUUGUGGUUGCUCCACGACGAGUCGAAGCUUUGGAGAUACAUUGUCCAACAUAGUCGUAGAUGUCUGUUCGUUUCAUCUAUGCGACGUUACAGUAACGAUGUGAAUCCACGGUUUGAGACUUGGACUUUUAAAGUCGAUUUAUACUGUUCGUUACUUUGCAACAAGAACGGCUCAUGCUUGCUUCCAGGUUCGUUUUGCACCUUCAUGGUAAAUUAUUGCAUUGACAUGACAAACAUAUCGUGUAUUAAGAGAAUUCCCAGCCGAAUUAAUUGCUAUAUGGUUUCAUGUUGUCUUGUGUCUGUUAAAACGUGAUCGAAUAAUGUGACAUAGUUUCUCCAGCAAAAAACAAGGUGUUAGUAAUUCUCAUAAAUGUUCCUUGCAAAUUCGUUGAUAUCGUUGGCAAGUUUAUGGUUUGAAGUUGUUCUGUUGCUUUUCGAUUGCCAAUACAUUCCGUUGCUUUUCAAAUUGAUUGCUUUUUAAUUCAUUUGUUUGAAUAAGGUGGUUUGAUUACUCUUGUUUCUGAUGGGUCCGUAGAUUAUUGGAGACGAGCCAUAGUAGAUAACAAGUAGUUUUUUUUUUGUUUAAAUACCUUUAAAUAAUAAAUCAGAUGAGCCUCGCUAAACAAAACACACAAAUUGCGGGCCAUCAAUAAAGGUUUUAAAAAUAUUUAAAAAAUCGGGAAGGGCCGUUUAGCGAAUUUCACGGACCUCCCAAAAGAUAAUAACGCACUAGACUCUAUUAGACGCGACUUUAAUAAAUUACAUUACUAAAUACGAGUGAGCAUUUUAUGUGGCCCAAAUCAAAUCCUAAAACGUUGAAUAGAGUGUGCCUAGGAUUGCAGGUUCAUUUGAUGCGGCGUAAUCCGAAAACACACUUUAAACGCCGUUCACUUUCUCUUAAAUAAAUAUUAUAUUAAUAAAAGCAGUUAAAGAUAAAAUUGGCACAUAGGCGUUUCAUGUAUUAAAAUCAGAUUUUAGCCAUUCAUGACAAUUUAAGCGACGUGCUAGAACCACGGGAUCCGAGGAUGCCUAAUACCUUCCCUCGGGUCAACAGAAUUCCUUAUUCAGAAUUUCUAGUUCGCAGACUCCAAUUGGGAAGUCGAACAUUUUCCUCGGAUUGGGAUUCAAGCUAAACUGGUGACUUGGGACACCAAAAUCCAAACCUUUCCCAAGUGGCGACUCUGGAUAAAUAAAUAACCCCGAUCCGAAUAAUGUCACUUUAAAUAGAAACUCCUUUAUGCAUUAUCCUCCGGGGUAGGUGUGUAAAAAGGAGGUGUGAUAGUAGCCUCAUGCAAAAAUGCAGUAUGGAGACAAAGCUUAGUCUCGAAAGGCAGAUAAUAGCCUUAUGCAAUGCAGGAAUGUAAAAUAGCGAAUAGUAGUAGGUUACUAGCUGAUAGAUAGUUUGCGAGAUUAGGACUACUGGGGAGUGCAGAUAGUGACCCUAUGAGGGUUUCCAUCCUAAAGAUCGAAUGUGCUUUGAUCCGUAACCUGAAUUCCUGCAUCCAAAAAAAAUCAUGAGUUCUCUAGGGGAGGGAGGUUAGUUCGUAUCCUUCAGCUGGCGCCAUGUACCAUGGGGGUAGCAUUGCUAAGUGAUGGUGGUGCAAAUGAUAUUUAUGCAUGACUUAGUAAAUAUAAUGCAAGUACGUAUAUAUGAAAGAAAAAAUGAUUUCAUUUUGGAUGAACCAACGACUAUAACGUGGUUCAAGACGCGAAAACCUCGCUUGUUCCGGAAUUUUGAGGGUCCUCCUCAAAAUUCUGCCCCAGUUUAGUGGGCUGGUGCUGCUGACGGAUGUGCUGAACAUCGAACGAGGAUUAAUUCCAGAAUUUUGAGGAUCCUUCUCAAAAUUCCGCCCCAGUUUACUGAGUCGGAGUUGAUGAAAAGACUGUCAAAUGACUAUGAAAUUUUGAGGGUCCUCCUCAAUAUUCUGCCCUAGGGGGGGAAAUGAGAUUUUUAUUAAAAUGUGACCAAUCCCAUAGGGCUGCCUACGUAUCCCCUCUUGAACAGAAAUCAUGCCAGGCGUAGUUCAGAUUACAUCACAAAAGGAAAGCAUAUGAUCAAAUGUAGUAUUUUUUCAUUCUGUCUGAGUUGAUAGGCUUCGACCAUACUUCUCCGUCCAUUUCUGCAAGAAUGAGGUCUCUUCCAGUUAGAUCCGAUGGACCAUGUACGGACCGUGCCAAUUGGGAGAGAAUUGCCCUUUGACUUCAUCUUGAGGGGGAAAUAUUUUCUUUAUUACCAACUGUCCUGGCGUGAAUUUCCUUGUCUUGACUCUCUUGUUGAAGGCUUUGGACAUUCUGUUCUAAUAUAAUUGACCAUGACAGACAUCAUUCAUUCUCUUUCCGUCUAUGAGGGCUAACUACUCGUAGCGACUCUUAACCCAUUCUGCAUCCUCUAAUUCUGCUUCUUGUAUUUGCCUUAGGGAGGGGAUUUCUACCUCGGCGAGAAUGACCACCUCUAUGCCAUAAACCAACAUGUAAGGAGUGGCCUCGGUUGAUGUGCGGACCGUGGUAAGACAACCCAGUAAAGCGAAUGAAAACUUCUCAUGCCACUGUUUGUGCUUUUCAAUUAUCUUAGUAUCUUCUUGAUGUUCUUAUUGUCUGCUUCUACAGCUCCAUUCAUUCGAGGUUUGCAAGCCGUAGAGUUCUUGUGACUAAUUUUGAAUGUUUCGCACAUUGCCUUCAUCAGGUCGCUGUUGAGAUAAGAACCAUUGUCGAUGAUGAUUGAUUCAGGAACCGCGAACCAACAAACCAUAUGAUCUCGGACGAAAUCUGCUACUACUUUCUUCGUGACUGCCUUGUAUGAUGUUGCUUCAACCCAUUUGGUAAAGUAAUCAAUUGCUACUAGGAUGAACCUGUGCCCAUUUGACGCGGUUGGUUCAAUUGGCCCAAUGACAUCCAUUCCCCAAGCAGCGAACGUCCAUUGUGAGCUUGUUGCAGUAAGCUCGUUCGGAGGCACCUUUUAUCAUAUCUGCAUGUAUUUGACAACGGUGGCAUUUUCCGGACGUACUGAAUGCAGUCAGUUUCUAUAGUCAUCCAAAAAUACUCUGCUCGGAGUAUCUUUUUUGCCAAGACA